RNAcentral lists this ribosomal RNA (485 nucleotides) under uncultured bacterium. Its description in RNAcentral is "bacterial SSU rRNA". It matches the Rfam family "Bacterial small subunit ribosomal RNA", at positions 33 to 507 of the family's 1533-position model. The record is from RNAcentral.
GACGACGCUGGCGGCGUGCCUGACACAUGCAAGUCGGACGGUUCUUGUACCUUCAAGCUUGCUUGUUGGUGCAAGGAUAGUGGCGGACGGGUGAGUAACGCGUGAACAUCUACCCAUUGGAGGGGGACAACCCGUCGAAAGGCGGGCUAAUACCGCGUAAGCCGCGAGGUGAGAGGCUGCCUAUUGGUGGCCGCCGAUGGAUGGGUUCGCGUCCUAUCAGCUGGUUGGUGGGGUAACGGCCUACCAAGGCGAAGACGGGUAGCCGGUCUGAGAGGAUGGCCGGCCACACUGGAACUGAGACACGGUCCAGACUCCUACGGGAGGCAGCAGUGAGGAAUAUUGGUCAAUGGACGAGAGUCUGAACCAGCCAAGUCGCGUGAAGGAAGACGGUUCUAUGAAUUGUAAACUUCUUUUGUGCAGGAAUAAAGUGGGUUACGUGUAACCUUUUGUAUGUACUGUACGAAUAAGGAUCGGCUAACUCCGUG